AGAGUUUGAUCCUGGCUCAGGACGAACGCUGGCGGCGCGCCUAACACAUGCAAGUCGAACGGAGCUUAGAGAGCUUGCUUUUUAAGCUUAGUGGCGAACGGGUGAGUAACGCGUGAGUAACCUGCCCUAGAGUGGGGGACAACAGUUGGAAACGACUGCUAAUACCGCAUAAGCCCACGGUACCGCAUGGUACUGAGGGAAAAGGAUUUAUUCGCUUUAGGAUGGACUCGCGUCCAAUUAGCUAGUUGGUGAGGUAACGGCCCACCAAGGCGACGAUUGGUAGCCGGACUGAGAGGUUGAACGGCCACAUUGGGACUGAGACACGGCCCAGACUCCUACGGGAGGCAGCAGUGGGGGAUAUUGCACAAUGGGGGAAACCCUGAUGCAGCGACGCCGCGUGGAGGAAGAAGGUUUUCGGAUUGUAAACUCCUGUUGUUGAGGAAGAUAAUGACGGUACUCAACAAGGAAGUGACGGCUAACUACGUGCCAGCAGCCGCGGUAAAACGUAGGUCACAAGCGUUGUCCGGAAUUACUGGGUGUAAAGGGAGCGCAGGCGGGAAGACAAGUUGGAAGUGAAAUCCAUGGGCUCAACCCCAUGAACUGCUUUCAAAACUGUUUUUCUUGAGUAGUGCAGAGGUAGGCGGAAUUCCCCGGGGGUAGCGGUGGGAAUGCGUAGAUAUCGGGAGGAACACCAGUGGCGAAGGCGGGCCUACUGGGGCACCAACUGACGUUGAGGCUCGAAAAGUGUGGGUAGCAAACAGGAUUAGAUACCCUGGUAGUCCACACUGUAAACGAUGAUUACUAGGUGUUGGAGGAUUGACCCCUUCAGUGCCGCAGUUAACACAAUAAGUAAUCCACCUGGGGAGUACGACCGCAAGGUUGAAACUCAAAGGAAUUGACGGGGGCCCGCACAAGCAGUGGAGUAUGUGGUUUAAUUCGACGCAACGCGAAGAACCUUACCAAGUCUUGACAUCCUGCGACGGUGCUGGAAACAGUACUUUCCUUCGGGACGCAGAGACAGGUGGCGCAUGGUUGUCGUCAGCUCGUGUCGUGAGAUGUUGGGUUAAGUCCCGCAACGAGCGCAACCCUUAUGGUCAGUUACUACGCAAGAGGACUCUGGCCAGACUGCCGUUGACAAAACGGAGGAAGGUGGGGAUGACGUCAAAUCAUCAUGCCCUUUAUGACUUGGGCUACACACGUACUACAAUGGCGUUAAACAAAGAGAAGCAAGACCGCGAGGUGGAGCAAAACUCAGAAACAACGUCCCAGUUCGGACUGCAGGCUGCAACUCGCCUGCACGAAGUCGGAAUUGCUAGUAAUCGCAGAUCAGCAUGCUGCGGUGAAUACGUUCCCGGGCCUUGUACACACCGCCCGUCA
This 1377-nucleotide ribosomal RNA is filed under the name uncultured bacterium. RNAcentral's name for it is "bacterial SSU rRNA". It matches the Rfam family "Bacterial small subunit ribosomal RNA". The record is from RNAcentral.